GUGGGUAGAUCCUUGCUUAUCUUUGUCUGCCACUGUGCCCUGCUUCUGGGACUGUUCCAGGUUGCUCUUGGAUCUGCUUGUCACUUUGCAUCUGGUCACUGCUGGAUCUGUUGGUGCCAUUGAGCUGCCCCUGCUCUGGUGCUGUCCAUGCAGGUGAACAUGUGGCCUUGUUUUCAUCUUCUACUCCUACCAUGUCAUCCUCUGCAGAGCUGCCCUGCUCGUGCUGAUUUGACUGGGAGCCCCUCACCCUAUGUGCAAGAUCAUAAGGAGUUUUGUAUCUUCAUGCUGUGCUUGAAGAACAUACAACUGCUCCUCACACAACAUGGCAAAACUGGGGCCUACACAACCUGAGACUUGCACUGAAGCAGCAAAAUAACUUCCUGUAACAUGAACACUGAGGAAGUGUAGAGUAACACGUAUUGGCAGAUUGGCUAACGUGCAUUUCUGAGAGAUGAUUUUCUCUUUAGGAUCCUUUGUGGUAUACAAUAUUGGCAGUAGUACUAGGUGUUGUGAUUAAUACUACAUGCCUCUAAGAAAUGGUUAUGGAAAGAUGGAAUAAUGAGAGUGGGAAUGGUGUAUAACUGAGUGCAGGGACUGGAGGUAAACAGCGCUGGACAGGCAUGUGUGUAGUCUGUAGUGUGGACAAGUUUUAUAGUUGUGGAUGUGCAACUUGAAGGAUGUUUGGCUGAAUCAUAAGCUAGUCUUAAUAAAGGAAUGUCCAACCAUCAGGACCAGAGGUUUCUAACGUAAAGACAGCAAAAGAGGGCCCUUAUGAAACCUGGCUAUAAUUGACUUAGAGAAGAGAUACAACAUACUUUUUUUAGUGACUGAGGUGCAAACUUUCCGCAUAUAUGCAUAUAAUCAAGCACAGACUCUUUGCAUUUCAUGUAAGAUGUCUUCCACUUACUAUCUUCCCACCUACAACUUAGACUACACCUGUACUUCUGUUUUGCUAAUUCUGUCAGAGAAAAAGAAAUUAUGAUGGUUUGAUUAACUGACUAGAGAUCAUCGUCAGGAGUAUAGGUCUUUCAUAUAAAAAUAAAAUGUAUUUCUCUUUCAGAAGUGCUUUGUGUUCAUAUAACACCAAAGAGGCAUGAGAAGUAGUAUGCACUUAAUCGUGCAUGAAAGAGGAAGCACAAUGGAUUUUCACAGUUACUAGUGUUAUCGAUAUAAGGUACGUACACAGUGAGCAUCACCAUGAAUCUUGACAACAAAUCUUUUAGGCACGGGAAUACUAGCAACACAAACAAAGUUGCUCAGAACAUGUUUAAAUUCUUAUUAUUUAGGGAAAUUGAAUAGUAGUAAAGAAAAUCAGUCAGAAUCUUGGAGGAAAAAAA
This is a long non-coding RNA of Oxyura jamaicensis (ruddy duck), 1337 nucleotides long. RefSeq lists it as uncharacterized. The transcript is spliced from 2 exons. The record is from RefSeq and is a predicted model, not a curated record. Lineage: Eukaryota; Metazoa; Chordata; Aves; Anseriformes; Anatidae.